UUCCGGUUGAUCCUGCCGGAGGCGACCGCUAUUGGAAUUCGAUUAAGCCAUGCGAGUCGAGAGUCUUAGGGACUCGGCGUACCGCUCAGUAACACGUGGGUAACCUGCCCUGUGCUGGGGAAUAACCUCGGGAAACUGAGAAUAAUACCCCAUAGUUCACCACGCCUGGAACGGUGGGUGGAUCAAAGCUCCGGCGGCAUAGGAUGGGCCUGCGGCGUAUCAGGUUGUAGGGGGUGUAACGUACCCUCUAGCCAUCAACGCGUACGGGUGUUGGGAGACAUAGCCCGGAGAUGGAUUCUGAGACACGAAUCCAGACCCUACGGGGUGCAGCAGGCGCGAAAACUUGGCAAUGCGAGAAAUCGUGACCAGGGAACUCCAAGUGGCUGGGGUAAGACCCAGUCUUUUCUUGACUCUUCAAAGGUCUUGGAAUAAGAGGUGGGUAAGGACGGUGCCAGCCGCCGCGGUAAUACCGGCGCCUCAAGUGGUAGUCGAUUUUAUUGGGCCUAAAACGUCCGUAGCCUGUUUGGUACAUUCGUGGGUAAAUCAACCAGCUUAACUGAUUGAAUUCUGCGAGCACGGCCAGACUUGGGACCGGGAGAGGUGUGGGGUACGCUCAGGGUAGGGGUAAAAUCCUGUCAUCCUGAGCGGACCACCUGUUGCGAAGGCGCCACACUAGAACGGAUCCGACGGUCAGGGACGAAGCCUAGGGGCACGAACCGGAUUAGAUACCCGGGUAGUCCUAGGUGUAAACGCUGUGGACUUGGUGUUGGGGAUUCUCCGAGGAUUCUCAGUGCCGAAGCGAAGGUGAUAAGUCCACUGCCUGGGGAGUACGGUCGCAAGGCUGAAACUUAAAGGAAUUGGCGGGGGAGCACCGCAACCUGAGGAUUGUGCGGUUUAAUUGGAGUCAACGCCGG
This 914-nucleotide ribosomal RNA is filed under the name uncultured marine archaeon. Its description in RNAcentral is "bacterial SSU rRNA". It matches the Rfam family "Archaeal small subunit ribosomal RNA", at positions 1 to 921 of the family's 1478-position model. The record is from RNAcentral.